Molecule: ribosomal RNA, 634 nt
Filed under: uncultured Bacteroidota bacterium
Lineage: Bacteria; Pseudomonadati; Bacteroidota
Description: bacterial SSU rRNA
Rfam family: Bacterial small subunit ribosomal RNA
Source: RNAcentral
GACAUUAGCUGGUUGGUGGGGUAACGGCCCACCAAGGCGACGAUGUCUGGGGGCUCUGAGAGGAGAAUCCCCCACACUGGUACUGAGACACGGACCAGACUCCUACGGGAGGCAGCAGUAAGGAAUAUUGGUCAAUGGAGGGAACUCUGAACCAGCCAUGCCGCAUGCAGGAAGACGGCCCUACGGGUUGUAAACUGCUUUUGCGAGGGAAUAAACCUGCAUACGUGUAUGCAGCUGAAUGUACCUCGAGAAUAAGGAUCGGCUAACUCCGUGCCAGCAGCCGCGGUAAUACGGAGGAUCCGAGCGUUAUCCGGAAUUAUUGGGUUUAAAGGGUGCGUAGGCGGAGAGCUAAGUCAGUGGUGAAAUACGGUGGCUCAACCAUCGCAGUGCCGUUGAUACUGGUUUUCUUGAAUCUACUUGAGGUAGGCGGAAUGUGGCAAGUAGCGGUGAAAUGCAUAGAUAUGCCACAGAACACCGAUUGCGAAGGCAGCUUACCAAGGUACGAUUGACGCUGAGGCACGAAAGCGUGGGGAUCGAACAGGAUUAGAUACCCUGGUAGUCCACGCCCUAAACGAUGAACACUCGAUGUCGGCGAUAGACAGUCGGCGUCCAAGCGAAAGCGUUAAGUGUCCAC